RNAcentral lists this ribosomal RNA (770 nucleotides) under Aerococcus sp. Its description in RNAcentral is "bacterial SSU rRNA". It matches the Rfam family "Bacterial small subunit ribosomal RNA", at positions 78 to 833 of the family's 1533-position model. The record is from RNAcentral. Lineage: Bacteria; Bacillati; Bacillota; Bacilli; Lactobacillales; Aerococcaceae.
GCUUGCACUUCUGACGUUAGCGGCGAACGGGUGAGUAACACGUAAGGAAUCUACCUAUAAGCGGGGGAUAACAUUCGGAAACGGGUGCUAAUACCGCAUAAUAUCUUCUUCCGCAUGGAAGAAGAUUGAAAGACGGCUCUGCUGUCACUUAUAGAUGACCUUGCGGUGCAUUAGUUAGUUGGUGGGGUAAUGGCCUACCAAGACGAUGAUGCAUAGCCGACCUGAGAGGGUGAUCGGCCACAUUGGGACUGAGACACGGCCCAAACUCCUACGGGAGGCAGCAGUAGGGAAUCUUCCGCAAUGGGCGAAAGCCUGACGGAGCAAUGCCGCGUGAGUGAAGAAGGCCUUCGGGUCGUAAAACUCUGUUAUAAGAGAAGAACAAAUUGUAGAGUAACUGCUACAGUCUUGACGGUAUCUUAUCAGAAAGCCACGGCUAACUACGUGCCAGCAGCCGCGGUAAUACGUAGGUGGCAAGCGUUGUCCGGAUUUAUUGGGCGUAAAGGGAGCGCAGGUGGUUUCUUAAGUCUGAUGUGAAAGCCCACGGCUUAACCGUGGAGGGUCAUUGGAAACUGGGAAACUUGAGUACAGAAGAGGAAUGUGGAACUCCAUGUGUAGCGGUGGAAUGCGUAGAUAUAUGGAAGAACACCAGUGGCGAAGGCGACAUUCUGGUCUGUUACUGACACUGAGGCUCGAAAGCGUGGGGAGCAAACAGGAUUAGAUACCCUGGUAGUCCACGCCGUAAACGAUGAGUGCUAGGUGUUGGAGGGUUU